Molecule: ribosomal RNA, 525 nt
Filed under: uncultured bacterium
Lineage: Bacteria
Description: bacterial SSU rRNA
Rfam family: Bacterial small subunit ribosomal RNA
Source: RNAcentral
AUAGAUACCCCGGUAGUCCACGCCGUAAACGAUGUCGACUUGGAGGUUGUGCCCUUGAGGCGUGGCUUCCGGAGCUAACGCGUUAAGUCGACCGCCUGGGGAGUACGGCCGCAAGGUUAAAACUCAAAUGAAUUGACGGGGGCCCGCACAAGCGGUGGAGCAUGUGGUUUAAUUCGAUGCAACGCGAAGAACCUUACCUACUCUUGACAUCCAGAGAACUUAGCAGAGAUGCUUUGGUGCCUUCGGGAACUCUGAGACAGGUGCUGCAUGGCUGUCGUCAGCUCGUGUUGUGAAAUGUUGGGUUAAGUCCCGCAACGAGCGCAACCCUUAUCCUUUGUUGCCAGCGAUUCGGUCGGGAACUCAAAGGAGACUGCCAGUGAUAAACUGGAGGAAGUGGGGAUGACGUCAAGUCAUCAUGGCCCUUACGAGUAGGGCUACACACGUGCUACAAUGGCAUAUACAAAGAGAAGCGACCUCGCGAGAGCAAGCGGACCUCAUAAAGUAUGUCGUAGUCCGGAUUGGAGU